CUGUUACACAUUAAUUCACAAGGAGUUCCACUCAGGACUUUACUGAAAGUAAAUCUGAGAACGACGUUCAUCCAAAAGAAUUUCCUUUGAGAUUUCUUUGUGUUUCGUGCCUUUGUUAGCUUCAUUUGUGCUUUCUAAGGAGUGGAAGUAGGGUAACGGAACCAGCUCAGUUGGACAAAAAGGUAGAACCGGAAUGACUUUGGCAACACAGAGAAAGGAUGACGAAAAGAGUUAAAAGGCAACCUAAGCUUAGCUUCAGUCGAUAGGGGAACAAGGUUUGUAAAUGUGAUAAAGUGUAUUUGAGUAACCUAAAAUGUUUAUGCGAAAAGAUGUAAAAGGUAGUGAUAAUGUAAAGAAAUGUACUAAUGUAAUGGGCUAUGCAUGACAAUGGUACCAGUGGAUUUCGUCUCUUGUUUUUGCAGAUGA
Girardinichthys multiradiatus is the source of this 426-nucleotide long non-coding RNA. RefSeq lists it as uncharacterized. NCBI's taxonomy places the organism in Eukaryota, Metazoa, Chordata, Actinopteri, Cyprinodontiformes, Goodeidae. The record is from RefSeq and is a predicted model, not a curated record. The transcript has 2 exons.